This 573-nucleotide long non-coding RNA is filed under the name Heterocephalus glaber (naked mole-rat). RNAcentral describes it as "lncRNA (ENSHGLG00100035289.1)". Lineage: Eukaryota; Metazoa; Chordata; Mammalia; Rodentia; Bathyergidae. The record is from RNAcentral.
CUGUAAUUCUCGAGCUCCUUAAGACAUCAGUUGUGCAACCUCCCUCCCAUUCUACUGUUUGCUUUUAUUGCUUGUGGGUCAGAAGCAGUGCAGUCUACAAGGAUUUCCUCCUUUCCUUCAAUUACUCCUGAAAGGCACUGCUUCUCAAGCCUGAUGUUUAAGUCAUGGAUUAUUUCCUAAACAGCACUGGGGCUGAAGCAGGAGGCAAAUGGCCGAUUCUCUCUGGAGGAAGAUGUGAAAAUCCAGGAUCCUGUGGACAUCGGUGGCUUUGGCUCCCUUGGGCGAGUGAGCAGAGUGAUGCUUCUCAGACUGCAGAAUGUCUUCCUGUUUGUGUAUCCUCUACUAUCAAUGCAAAGUACCUCUCAUCCAAUUUUCCACAGUCAACCCAAUGCGAAUACAAUCGACCCUCUGCGUCCUACUGUUCUGCAUCCCUGGAUUCAACCAACCAUCCAUUGAAGAUAUUUGGAAACAAAAACUGCACUUCUAGAGCAGCAAGAGACAUAGCACUCCUCCCCUGCAGAGACCACAGAAUCAUGGCGUCAUCUUGGAAGCAAAGAACAGCCCUCACCAGAC